CUAGCCGAGCUCAAGGAUUGUAGAUCCGUUUCAAUCCUGUCGAGCUUAAGGAUUGCAAUUUCGUGUCAAUCCUGGUACACAGUCACGAGCUGUAGUACAACAAAAUUCAAUGAUUGUGGGUCGUAGAUGAAUAGUAAAGCUGCAUGCAAAUAUUGCAUAGCCCCAAGACGCAAUAGAAAGAGUGGUGCGCAUCAAUAAUGUUCGAGCGACAAGCUAAAGUUGCUUGGUCGUAGCCUCGGUGAGACCGUAUUGCGUGUGAACAUGGGGUACAGGACACUUCAACUUACAUCCUGAUGAACUUCUUUAAAGAAUGGGUAGUGAGCCCGUAGAAGUAUAAACAAUAUAAGCAGUAUAAGCAGUAGAUAAUAGUGUAACACGUGACCAGUGUGUUAACACGUCAACCAACACCAUAAAGCAUAAAAAGGUGUCCGCAAGUUGGUUGUAUCUAUCUACAUAGUUUGAUGUAAGAAUAGAAUGUUCACUUUUGUGUUAUUUAGCGUAGGAGGGUCUCACUCCUUAUUUAGCUAAAGAAUAAGCUUUCAAAACGAGCAAUGAGCAUUGCAGGGGGCCAAUGCGACAUCGAGGAAAGGCCGGUGCACCUCAAUUGCUUGAGGAAUUGACCGGACGACCUCCAGGAAGUUGGAGUCGUGUUCGGGUGACGUCAAUGUCCCCCAGGUCACCACCAUGCUUCAUGGUGAUGCUAGAUCUCGAAUGUCUUCGUUUUGAGCGGAAUAAUGGAUGUCCAUGAGAAUUUCUCAAAAUUUGGACCAUUAUAUCUCUUCCAGGUUGACCAAUUUGGUCAAACCAAAUCCUAUAUGAGUCAGUGUCCCAAAUAUCAUGUUUGGCGACAACAUGGGAUUCGAUAUUCGAAUCAUAGUGACAUACAGUCCACUAGAUUGACUCAUGAAUUUCUCCAAGAUGCGCUUCAGUUCGCAUUCAUGAGGAGGUAUACACAAAAGAAUUCUUGUUCAUUCUCACAAUAUGUUUUCAAAUGAAAACCAUUAGCAUGAAUGUCUUUAAAGCUUAACAUGGUUCCUUAGAAUGUUGUGGAUAGUUCCACUAUCUGCGAAGCACUCAAUGUCUCUAUGAGACAUAACUACAAGGAGUAGAUAGGCGAGUAAAUAGUUCUACUUGAACCAUUUAGAAGGAUUGAAAGAAGCUACGAAAAGCUGCAAUCCCGAGAGUGCAUAAAAAUUUCCGCGCAGAAUGACCUUUGCGCACUAAAACAGCCAUAACUUCUUCAUUAAAAUAGAUAUGGACGAACCGUGAAAAGUUCUGAAAACUAGACUCAUAGAGCUUUCCAAUGAUAUAAAGCUCACUN
This 1321-nucleotide long non-coding RNA is filed under the name Fragaria vesca (wild strawberry). Its description in RNAcentral is "long non-coding RNA (FVES_LNC003539)". Lineage: Eukaryota; Viridiplantae; Streptophyta; Magnoliopsida; Rosales; Rosaceae. The record is from RNAcentral.